UUCGGUGGUCAUAGCGUAGGGGAAACGCCCGGUUACAUUCCGAACCCGGAAGCUAAGCCUU
This 61-nucleotide ribosomal RNA is filed under the name Streptomyces mutabilis. The record is from RNAcentral. Lineage: Bacteria; Bacillati; Actinomycetota; Actinomycetes; Kitasatosporales; Streptomycetaceae. RNAcentral also lists the same sequence under 1 other name.